GGAGGGGAACGGGCGGGAGCGGUGGGGUCGUCCGCAUCGUGCCGGGCAGCCCGGAGCGGGGGUGGCCGUGGCCGCGCGGUACUGGUCGGAAGGCCGGGUGGUGAAAGCUGGCGCUUCAGCCAAGCAGACGCAGCCCUGGAGGUCCCCAACCUGGUGCAUGUCAGGAUAAGGUGCUCCCGUUCGAAGCCUUUCCAGCUGCUUGCCUGGUGAAGCUCAUGCGGGGUUAGUCACGGCUGACGGAGCAGCCUGAGGGGUGGAGAGCCUGCCCAGGAAUCAGGAGGACAGCUUUCAGCUCUGCCUAAUGGGAAUCAGGCCUGCACCUUCACAGCGCUGCCCGGACCUCCCGCUGCCCCCGGGCCAGGGUAAUGGUAGCACAGGGAAGCUGUGGCCUGUCCUUCCUGGGAGCUAUCCAAAAGCUGACUGCACAUGGCCCAAGCUGACCUUAUGGGAUCUGCUCUGAGCAGCAGGGAGUAGACUUGAUCUCCAGAGGCCCCUUCCAAGGUAAACCUGUUCUAUAACCUUAUGUUACAUCAGUAGAGUUUCAGGUCUUGUUACAAACUGGAAGGAUGCCCAAACCCAGAAAGCAAAUACUCCUUUGAGUACAAUACGCAGCGCUGUACGGCUGCUGCAAAUCAUGCCCUUUCCUUCCUGGCUGUAAACAUUUUGCAUGUAAGUUAUGUCACCCCAGAGAGCUAUUAGGGAAAGAUUACAUGCACCAUAUCUCCUGAAGAGCUGGAUUCUUAUCUGUCAACAAAGCUUACUGGUUUUCCUGUAAUCCUGUGAAUGUGCUUUCGUAGCCUUGGGCAAAACAUUUUUAGUUCAUCUGCUCUUCUGGUUUUGGCAAAUCUGCACAUGCUGCUGGUUGUGUCCCUGGUCCUGGAAACUCUCACACAUCUUCUUAGUUAGAUGGUCAUACACAGCCAGUCAUACUGAAGCGCAGAUAUUAGUAAGGCCAAGCCAUUGCAUGUGAGAUGGCACAUGGCCUGCAUUUGUCCGUCACUUAGCACUAGCUGGCUGUAUUAACUUGCCUAUACUGAGCUGCUUACCUCUGACUAGAGAACAUCACCAGCUGAAAUCAUUUCUAAUUAUGGUGUAUGUGUAUUAUAAAGUGCUGUUUUUGACGUAAGCUCUUACUGCUGAUUUUAAAGAGCGCGCCUAACGCUACCAGUGGGUUAUUGACCAAAACCCUCUCGUCUGUGGGGACAGACAACUGAUGAAAUCUGUGUGCAGACUUGGAACAAAUGAACCCCUAAUGGCCAAGGAACAAAUCAAUUUACAGAUGGUUAUGAAGUUAUUUAAAAAUAUCCCGAACAAUUCUGAAUAUAAACAACUUCUUGAACCCUGAAGAAGUUAAGAACUUCCUUUUAUCCAUUAUGACAGUGGGUGAGUACCACGACACAGGCAAUGUAUUCUUCCCUGAGGAGCAAUGGUAGAGAAUAUGCCACACGUGGUAUCAUAACUAACAUCAGUCACUGAGGUAAGGGCAGAUGCCGCCCUGGUGUGAAGGCUGUGCAAUGGAUAUGAUUUCUUCCUGUCCCUCCUGCCACGGCACCUUGCAGUCCUUUCUGUGGGCAGGAAGGAGAGGCCUGCCAGCUCAGCACAAGGCAGAGCUCCUCUGUAUCGUAACUGAUCUAUUGUGCAGAGAAGCUGAAGAGAAGACAAGGUGUCACACCAAGAAUCCAGAAAUGUAACUAAUCUAAUAUACCGAGGCUAAACUGGAUGAUAAAUUCUGAAAAAUUGACUUGAUGUAAUAGUCGUUUUAAAGGCAUCUUUAACGUAUUAAAUAUGUACUCACGAGACUCUGAUAUGGCAAAUUAAAGCGUAUGAAUAACCUCAUGCAGAUUCAUAAGCCGCAUAGAUAUUUGAUGGAAAAAGCUUAUAGGUUUGGAUAAUUCAAUAAAGCUUUGGCUGGAGCAGAAUUAAGUUAGGAUAUAAUGGCAUUUUCAUAUUAACAUUAAGUAAGUUUAAAAAAAGAAGUGAGAAAAAAGUUGAGUUGAGGCAAGGCAGGUAAUCUCUGCAGGGUCAGAUGUUGCCCACGGGGCUCAAUGGCUGUGGGCCAUGGCUGCUCAUUGUCUUCCAAAAGCCAUGGAAGGGAAAUUAGUCUCCGCAAUAUCAGAUCAUAAUAUAAUUUCUUAUCUGCAGUUAUGAGAAAUACCGGUCUUUAAUUAGCAACAUAAAUGAAAGUGGGAGAAAUUAUUAAAGGAAUGCCAUAGAGGUAAAAGUCUUUACCAGUUAUCCUGAUGAAAUCUGCCAAAAGCUGACAUGUACACUGAAGGAGGAAAUAAGACGCCCAUGCAAACCUCCACCUACAUCAGCUAACAGAAAGCAGAACUAAUUCUACCAAAGUCUCACACAUGGAGCAGGACAGUGGUGGCAGUGGGAGUUAAAGGGGCUGUGCAGGUUCUUUAAUGCAGGGGAUGCGAUCGCUGUGAUGCACUGCAGAGGGCAUGCAGUAAUUUCUGGCGUGGCUGCAGAGGGAGGUGCCCAUCUCCCGGGCACUGCUGACGCAGACGCUGUCAGUGAGGUGGAAGGAUUGCUGGGUACCGGUCUCCUUCUGUCUGUGGGUCUGCUCAGGUGCUGAUGGGUUAUUAAACCAUGAGCCUCUGCUGCAAUGUAUGCAGGCAGCUGUUAAACAAUCUGCAUUAAAUCGGCAAUUUUCUGAUCACAAGGAGAGAGACUCAUGAGUACCUGACAAAACAUCAUCACUUAAAGGUUUCCAGCUUCAAAGCACACCGAUUUAUACUGAUGUGGAGACAGCCCACUUCCUGAAAACUCUACUCGGGUGUUUAAGUUGCAUCACUUCCUGAUCCAGACCCUAUAGUGGGAUUCCUUCUGCUGUCUGUGGAGAGCAGACAGUGCCGUUAUACACGGCUGGCACCUGCACUGUGUAAAGCAGGUUUCCAAAACGUGAUUUCAGAACAUCAAAAACGCCCACUUACAACAUGACUUCCAAUGCAAACGGUGCACAGGUACCAACACCCAAAGACUUCUAACUCUAAAAGUUCGUGCUUAGGGUAAACUUGAACUCCAAUUUCUUGUGUUGUUAAUCAGUUCUGUGGGUCCCACAUUAAUGCUGAACCGAGCAACCGCACUGCCCCCAAGGAUUGGUAAAAACUCAGAUAUGAGAACAGGGAAAUAGCAAAUCCCCUUUGCAGGAGGAGCCCGAGGAGAAACUGAAGCGGACCCUUUGGAGCACACUUACUUCAGGAUCACAGUUUUACUUUGCAGGAAAUGAUGAUGAGCACAGGGGCCUAAGAGAGAAAAGGAAGUACUUUUAAAGCACUUGAUUACAUUCAAGAGAUUUUAAAAAUGCACCUACCGUGUUGAAUUUCAACCGGUUCUUUGAAUAAUUUGUUAUUAAAAUGCCCGAGGACUCAUUCAUACACAGAACGUGUUUGACACCACUUCCCUGUGCACUUCAGAGCUGUCACCAGGCCGCUGGCUGCCAUGUCCUCAGCGAUGCGGUAAGCAGGGCCGCUCCCUGCUGCCUGUGUUCGCUCCUCCUCAGCUGGCCGUGGCGCCUGCACAGCCAUGAAGCGACACGAGCACCAGGAGGCAGAGGUGAAAAACAGAAUGGAAGCUAUCCUGAGCCUUUGAAACUUCUUUCUCAUGCUGAGAAAGGUGUUGAUUCAUUUCGUUUUAGGGUAUCUCUACAAGUAGGACAACCGAAGUUGACUUCUGAUUCCAGACCAAAGCUUGCUGACUUUGAUCCCUGGCAGAUCUGCAGUUUUAUCUGCAUGAUGACUACAGAGCAAUUUACAAUUAGCAGCAACGAUCUGCCUGUAAUGAACUUAUUUUUAUUUACGCUAUGAAUAAGUUCUGUAAAAAUUAAUUGUGCUCCUUUGCAAUCGGUUCCUUCCCACCCGUAUUCCUACAGUAAGUCCAUUAAAAAAAAACUUCUGUUCUGUGGAUCUUGCUCUUGCUGGGUUUUUUUGUGCAGGUGGCACUGACUGCACUCACAAGCGAGGCCGAUGUACAGAGCACUACCAUGAAGGCCACCUAUGUUCGUAGCACACGAUCAUUUAUAAGGUAACUUAAGAACAUUCUGAACCUCAAAGGGAUGAUAUCACAGUUGCUGUUUUCAGUGCAAGUAAACAAUAACGUUCACCUGCAGGAAAUAAACACUUCAGCUAAGCACCAUGGUACUAAAAAGCCCAGCAAAGCAUUUAUUUUUGUAUUGCAGAGAGGUAAAACCAGUUUACUUCUGCAUCAGUGACCUCUACUUCUUCAGCAAGAGCCACAGAAUUCCAAUGUUUUCAUUUCCCCAAAUGCUGUCCUUCACCUCUUACUUACACUACUUUUCAUUAACUAGGAACAAAAUGAUCUCCUGUGCUUGUAGGGAGAGGUGACACGGGCAGCUAAGGCAGGUUUCAGAGCACCUAUCUUCACUUGUCCAGAACUCAGCUCAUCUCAGCUUCUGGCCUCGCUCUGCAGUGUCAACAGAGAAAGGCACCUCUGGGGAUUUAUUCAAAUAUUCCAGACAUAUUUUAGGAUGAAGCAAACGACCGUAUGUACUUCUGUGAGUGAGGAAGGGAGCCUGAACAGCCUAGCUGGAACACAGUCGCUUCCAUCUCCUCAGUUUUUCCUUCUGGACGUCACAGUUCCUCAGGCGAACCUUCCCAUCUGUUUGUGCCCUUCAGGCAAAUUCCAAGCCCUUCCAUUUGGAACAUUUUGGCAGCACUCCAUCCUCCACUCAGGGACAGUUGUUCACUCCACGGUCUGCAGUUUGCCUUCUACAGCGCAUCGCUUCCUCACUGUUCUUCAGUGGGACACAGCAGUGCAAAAGUGUCUCCUUGUGCCUCACACAGCAAUUCUCAACAGACUGGCACCGAAACACCAUUUACGAAGUACUGAAGUGUAACAACGCCUAAUGCUGUAAGGAGAUGUAAGCACUUUAAAAGGAUUACUUUACACUCCCAUUAUUCACUGUCCUAGAAGAACACCCUCGUCCUGGCUUGCACAUUCAUUACCACUGCUAUUAGAAUAAAGCCAAUUGGUUAAAUAAUCAGAGUAUAUAAAUUUUAGCAAGCCUGCUGAAACCGAGACAAAUUGUUUCUGAUUCUGUGACUGAUUUUCUCUUUUUCUUAGCUGUAAAAAAACAAUAACACUUUUUAAGAGAGUCUGUUUCUUAUUAAGAUUUAGAAUACUCAUUUUUCUGAUAUCCGAACUCCAAAAUAUGCAGCCCAAUGUUCCCUUACACCUCAAAGCUGAUUUAUUUGAAGAAGAAAAGUGCAUUACGCUUUCCUGACAUCAUAAAUUCGAGGUUCCAGAAGACAGUAAAUAGCAGGUGCAGCUGCCUGCGUACUCUGAAUUCUAUUUCUUGCCCCGCUGAUCUAAUGUCCUUACUGGAACGUGGGCUCUGGAAACAAAAGCAGUGGCACAAGGUAUAGAAUACAGAUGCAACUUUUAAUUGUUUAUGUGUGGAUAGACUGACCACUCUUUGGGAGGAUGAAGAGUAGAACAAACGAACAGGACUCCAACCCCCCAUUAUCUGUUACAGUACCUCCAAUGUGCCUGUGAAGCCUGUUCAGCAUGGCAGGGGUAGCACCUCACCACACGUGUGUUUCUUGGACUACAUGAGCUGGCAUGACUUGCAUAAUUUGGCUGAUGUCGGAGGCAUCCAGUUUGACCUUCAGUAUGUUGCUAUGUAGUUGCUAGGGAUGCAACUUUUAUUAGAUAAAGCACAGCUAAACAUCUGUUAUGACAAAACACAGAACUAGAAGAAAUAACCGAGCAUUUAGCCAGCAACUCCUACACCAGUCAUUUAGCCUGACCUGGCCUAUACUGUGCCACUGUGAAUAGACGAAUGGCAGCAAUUUCACUGAUUUAGAGCUUAAAAAAAGUAGAACGACCAACAGGAGGGACUGCGCCUCCAAUAAAGACUUCAUAUUCUAAAAUACUCUUAGAAGAGCAUACUUGUGCUUGUGUUCCUAGCGCAGCCAAUUACAAAAUGUGUUUUUCAGAAGCAAAGACACCUGUUUGAGAGACCUCAUGGCCAUGGCACAGAAUUUAGCUGCUGGCCUACCAGUAAAGCUGCAACAAUGAACAUACUUCACAUCUCUGCUUUCUGAAAUGCACUGAGAAAACAAGCUGCUGCUGUUGUGUAUACGGCUGAAUGCUACCUGCUUUGAUUCUGUUUGGAAAACCUCCAGGCGUUUUCCAACACCUUCAGUGGUCUUCUGGAGGUAUGUUUUAAAUUUCAACUCUUAAUUGCUCCCGUUAAAUGGCUCAGGAAUUAUUUACAGACUAUACUCACUUCUCAUAGAUCAGCAGUAUCUAACAAAAUGUAUUCAGCAUAGGGGGCUGAGGAGGUAAAUUCGUGGUCCUGUGCUCUCUGACUUCAUGUACCUUCAGCUUGCUCUUCGAGACAUGGUGGAACCACUCUUGUGGCCUCAGUAAUUUCCUAGCAAGGCAGCAACUUAAUGAAAAUGAGAAACAGCCACAGUAAUUCUCUUUUUUAAAAAAAUUUAGGAAGAAAAGAUGGCUCAUGUCUGAACUGAGCAACUGAAACAUGGUUUUCAAGAAGACUAAGACUUGCUUAGACCACAGACUCACUCAUUGCUACUUUAGUAUGCAGUAGCUGGAUUCUCUCUGUUUUUUUAGAGUCUAAAAUCAGUUUAUCUUUGUCACAGUAAGAAUGAAAGAUGAUUUUCAACAAAUAGAGAGAAUGCAAACUGUUUUCCUCCCCUUUGCAACAUUUCAGCUCAUCAGGCCGUACACCAUCACAAAGGAGAUGACAAAAACAGCAAAGCCAAAGCCUCUUGCACUGGCACAUCUGCCUGCACGUCAGGCUGCCGGGAGCUGUAAACACUGUUUAAUAUUGCAUAAGUCAGAUGGGUAAGGUCUCUCUUCAAAGAUCUUCAGCAGCAGUAACCAUGGGCAGUAGCAGGCAUUUAUCAUUUGCCUUUUGCUCAGUAAUAAAGGCACAGCCUUUCAAACCCAAUUAUGUAGUUGCCUUUGUGGAAGUUAAGUCGACGUGCAAACUGCUGUGAUUUGAAGAGUAAUGUAGCAAUUCUUUACUAUUUACUUUACUAUACAUAAGACCAUGGAAACACAAACGAGUUUUGAGUUAUAUCUAGUGAUGAAGUAAGUGCUAUUCAUCUCUGUUACCACUUCACUGUUCUUCAAAAAGAACAUGAGAACACUUGAGAAAAACCAGUACUUAUAAGCAGAAGUAUCAUAGAAUCAUAGAAUGCCUUGGAGUGGAAGGGGACUCGAAGAUCAUUUAACAGGACUACGUUGUUGCUGUGAGAUCUGGUCCAUCAUAAUCCUCAAAGGAAGACAUAGAAGAAAUCCUUCAACAGGGAACAGAUUCUUUAUUGGACAGAUUCCAAAGUUUUAUGUAGAAUACUGGAAUGGCAUAACAGCCACUGACAUUUUCAGUAUAAUACUGCAACAAACUGUCUAUUAUGACUUGUUCAGGAGUAAAAGCAAUUAAGCUGGCAUAAUAACAUACCAAACAGACAAGGCUGAUGAGGCUGCAGUGCUGCUCAAAUACAGCUGUGACUCAGACUGGAUAAACACACCAAGUAUAGUCUAGGUUCUGCACAGUGUGUGUCACUGUACUGUACAUCUGGCUUUGAUUUUUUGCCAAGCUAUAAGCUGCUCUAUCUACACAUUAAGUAUUGCAGAAGGAAGUACAGUGCCCACCAGAAGUGGAAGUAAUACGAACUGACUGCAAACCAAAUCUUGUUUUUACCCCCUCUUUGUUCCUCUGUAGGUUACCUACAAUAUUUGUCUGUUGCAGAAAGCCAUUGGGUUGUACUGGCCGUUUCUGAAAGACAACAGCUAACAGUCCAACUUACUUUUGAAAUGCUGCAUGGCAGUACUUAGUCAACUCAGAGAGAACUCAGAACUCUCUCAGAGAGAACAACACAUUCAAGUUUAAGGUAACAGCACAGUACACAAUGAAGCUACAGUUUAUGUUCAUUGUUUACCAUUUUGCCAAAGUUAAAUACAACACUAUUGUAGAGAAUCUUCGUAGAAACACAGUAGUUUUCACUGUCUCCCACCCACCUUUUAAACCCAUCAUUUGAGGCAUUCUGACGUAUACCAUAGCAGGCAUCUGGACUGCAGCUGAGAAACAGAAUCCUGUGUCAUCUCAGACACAUAUAGAAGGGCUUUAAACAAAAAAAGCAGGGCUUUAAGUUUGGUUGGCUUAAGAUACUCAACAUCAGCCAAGUGAAGAUAUUCAUGCAUCAUUCCAGUUCAGUCCAGUGUGGAUUAUAAAUGUCACACUCCAUAACCAAAUAAUAACACAAAAACAUAUUCUUGGGAUGGAAGAGUUUCAGGAGGCACUACAUAAGUCUGAGAAAAACUGAAAUGUCAAAAAAAGUUAAAGAAAAAAAAAGAAAAAUUAAUAUACAAGUUCAGCAAUAACUUUCUUCUGAAGCUUGUAGGACUCACACACACCGGCUCUAUGCAGAAGAACAACCAUACACUUUCUAAACAAAAGAAGCAAACUGGUUGCCAGUACUAUUCUAUAAUGAUAAAUUUCAACUUUUUCACUUCUUGAACGGAAGCAUUAAGAAGCCUCUCUUGGAUAAACUUCAAUGAAUUUCAGAAUGCAUGCCUUUCCCUGAGGCCAAAAGGUGCUGGAUUCCUGUUAAGUAUUCUUAGCUUCAAAAACUGAAGAGGACUGAAUGCAUCUUGAGCACAGAAAAAUUAGUCAGACCUGCCUAUUAAAGAGAUAAGAUAAAAAUGGAUUUUUAUUACCUCUCCACGAACAAGAACAAACACUUUGAUAGUUAAUUUCAUCUAGAAGAUAAUAUUAUAAUAAUAUUAUAACAAUAUAAUAAUAUAUUAUAAUGUUAUCUAGAAGAUAAUAUAGCAACAUAUUAUAUGAUCCUAAGAGGGACGUGUUUAAAUCAAUCAAGAAAAUUCUUUGAGUAUAGUACAGCUACUGUAAAUACUUCUCCCUACAGCGUGCUCCCACUCAAAUCCUUACGUUCCCCAAAUAUAUGCUGCAAUGUUUAGGGGUAUGCAAAACACCCAACUCCAAAACAUACUGUAUUUAAUACUUAAUGCUAAGACUCUUCUUAUGGGAUGGAGGAAUUACAGUUACAUGUAAUGUUUACAGUAUUUAUGACUGCAAAUUCAAAUCUUAACUUUGUAGCACGUUUUUCUAUUUAUCUUGUUUCAAAUAACAUAAGCUUGAAAAAUGUCUUAAAUUGCUCUGUGUCUAGCACGGUUAAAGUGAAGACGAGAUACUCACUGUUGCAGGUUUCUCAGUUCAGAAGGCAGGUCACAACCUAUGUAAGCAUUAUUCAUUAAACUGUACUCUAAUAGUGCACAAAAACAGGGAUCCUACAAGAAAAGAUUAAUGUUUAAUACAAACGUUACUCUGUGUAAUGAACUUGCCAACAAAUUAACACGGCACACAAAUGCAGAACAUUUCAGAGGACCUUUUCCAUAAACAGAACAGCACAAACAGUGCAAGCAUGGAGCAACAUCGCAGGAAGAUACCUUCAGAUGUAUUAAGUUACAUGUGUUGCAUGUACGUGUGGGGAAACUACACCUCCCAUUCAGUCAUUUCAUGAAUACUGUUCUGUCGAGAAGGUCAGAAAGAACCAUGCAUGAGCUCAAAAAGGAGACCUCUUCGGCAGGUGGUUACAUUAAUUGGGAGUAAUCACUUCUACCUCUCUCCAUUUAAAAAUGAAAAUAAUUGCAUCAGAUAGUCCCCUCCAAAUUAGUCAUUUACCAUGGCAAAUACCAUACAUGAUUCAAAGAUGUAAGAAGAAAACAAAAACAACUUACUUUCACAAGAAGAUGAGGAUUUCCUAUGACAAUCAGCAAAGCUUUUGCUCUAGUAAUGGCCACGUUGAAUCUCUUUGGGUUAGAGAGAAAGCCCAAACAGUAUUCCUCUUCAGCAAAUGUGUCUUCAUAAGAUCGCACCUACAAAUCACAGAUACAGAUUUAGAACUGGAAUAAUGAGAAACCAACUUACUUUGUCACAGUGUAACUUUCAUCUAUUAAAAAGUAUAAUUUACUCACUACAGCAAACCACAGUUCAAUGUGAGCAAUACACAAGUUAGCUUCAAAAUCCAAAAUUCAGCUGUCUAACUCAUUUCCCACCACUGGUGUUCCCAGAGGUGGUCUUUUUUUUCCAAUAGUCCACUAAUAUAACUUCAGCAAUUUCAAGAGAAUGGUAUAUUAGCUUUAUUUGAGCAUCAGGAAUAUCCACUGUAAGCUGAAACACAAGAUACCAACAUAAAAUCAAUGUUUUUCAAGAUGUAAGCUUUUCAGUAGAAGAAAUGCUAGAAUUGCUGUUUUUUUUUUCUUUUUAUGUCCUACAAAUCAACAAUAUUUCAGAGUGUCAUCAGUCACCUUCUAGUUUUGAAGUAUCAUCAGAUACUUCAAUUAAAAAAAACCCCAAGAUUUAUGACUGAUACCUUCAGCAAAGUUUGCAAAGCUGUGGUGAAAGGCAAGGGUUACCACCUUCCAUAUAACAGCAGAAACUCCCAACAUAUUUGGCGAUGCAUUCUUCUUCUCCUCUUGCCUCCUCACCAAACGCAAUGGUUGGACUCAAUACAAUUCAAAACAUCAUCUUCUCAAACUUCCACCUUUCUGUAUUUCCUCAACAUCCCCUUCUAUCAAGUUUGAGAAGUGGACCUAGGUGAACUUAAAUGAGAUUCAAGGUGUUGCACUUGGGUCGGGGCCAUUCCAGAUAUGCAUACAGAGUGGGAUAACUCUUUGAGAGCAGCCCUGUGGGAAAGGACUUGGGGGUCCUGAUGGACAAGAAGCUUGAUAUGAACCAGCAGUGUGCAUUUGCAGCCUGGGAGGCCAACAAUAUCCUAGGCUGCAUCAAAAAAGGGGUGGCCAGCAGGGUGAGGGAGAUGAUUGUUCCACUUACUCUGCACCUGUGAGGCCCUGUCUAGAGUACUGUGUCCAGGCCUGGGGCAUCCAGCAAAGAAAAAGAUGUGGAAUUCUCAAACUGGUCCCAGAGGAGGGUCAUGAAGAUGAUCAAAGGGCUGGAACACCUCUCCUAUGAAGAAAGGCUGAGGGAGCUGGGCUUGUUCAGUCUGGAGAAGAGAAGGCUCUGGGAAAACUUCACUGCAGCCUUCCAGUUUGGGUUUGUUGUCAGGCAGAAAUUUUUUUACUCAGAGGGUGGUGAGGCACUGGCACAGCUGCCCAGAGAAGCUAUGGAUGUCUCAUCCCUGAAGGCAUCCAAGACCAGGUUGGAUGGGGCCCUGGGCAGUCUUAUCUGGUGCGUGGCAGCCUGCCCAUGGCAGUGGGAUUGAAACUAGAUGACUGUUAAGGUCCCUUCCAACCAAUGCCAUUUUAUGAUUCUGUGAUCAGUCAGAAAUUUUCUGAAAGACUCAUUUAUUGCAAAGAGUGAAGACAAACAGCUUUGCAUUCUCAUGUUUAUAUAAAAAUUUCUAGCAAUGCAAUUUGUGCUUCUGUACUGUCCUAUUUACACAGAUAUAGUCAACCAACACCAAUACCGAAUCAAGGAAGUGAAGUACUGUGAAAAUGAUGUCCUGUGACCAUUGUACUGCUGAAGUACAAACAUAGCACAGACUCCUUUCCCCUGUCCCUUUUUUUGCAAGGCAUUUUAUAGCUUCAGAUUCAAAUAGCCAGAAGCUAGAAAAGACAUUUACCAACAUCCCAAUACUUAACCAGCACAACACUUCAACAGUGCAUCAUGAAAAUGAUCAUGAAAGACUGUCAAGUAUUCUGCUAACAGUAAAAAAAAUGGUACUAGAUUCCUACAGUCAGCACUGGUGUCUGGGUAAUCAUCAGCUGUAUACAAUUAUGUGGUAAUUCUCAAACAGAACAUGAAAAGAACCUACAUCAACAUUCCUAAGCUAAACAACAACUUCAGAUUACUGUGAUUUAUACAGUUCUCUCCAAUAUUUAUACUGCACCCAGUUUCCAUCGUCGCUGAGCAUGCUUAAAGUGAAGAUAUCUUAUCUGUGUGAAACUCUAUAAACUCAUUUUGAAUUAUCUACAAAGGCUUGAAGUCUACCUCAAAAGCACAGAUACCAUCCUGUUUGCAUGCAUUUCAAUUAAGCAUUUUUCCCAAACAGUAUGACAGAGGAGUGACAAAAUCACAGUUCCCUUGGUUUUUUUCAUCCUCGUUCCCCAAAGCUCCAUGUCAAAAAGGAGCUACAGAGAAUUGAGAACACACAAAUAUUCUAGACAAGACCACAACAAGUAUACAUACUGUUGAUAAGAUGGUAACCAUGCACUCUUGUCCUUGAAACUCUUCUACUGUGCCGACUUUAAUAUCUGACAAAUCAAUGCUUCUCAGAAGAAAUUUAAUUUUUUCUACCUGGAAAAAAUGUUUGAAGGAAUUUAUUUUCAUAUUUUACAGUGGAUUACUUCAAAACCAAAGACAUGAGACAUGUAAAGUAAUUUAACACACAUAGGUUGUAGGGAAUGCCUACACCAAGGUUAGCCAUCACCCACUACUAAGGUUUUAAAACAAAACAGUAGCUUUUCCUGCUGUGUAUAACAUUUCUUAUGUGACUCAACAGGGGGAAUAUUUGCUACUUACAUGUAAACAGAAAUUAACAGGUUUUUUGAUAGAUUUUAAUGACAUGAGCAACUUAGAUCUUAGGAGCUUAUCCACGCAGGCUCUUCUUCCAUCAUGGAAUAUGUGCCAACCCAAGACUUACCACAGGUGUGGUAGGGCAAACAGCUUCCCCCACGCCCUCUCAAGAGGGCUGUGCAGAGAUUCCACCUUUCCUUGCUACAUACACCAUACAGAGUGAAAAAAACUCAGGUUUUUCACUCUAAACUCUAGAUUUAAUGAGAUCAUCAUUAGUGAAUGAUAAAACACUGCGUAACGAAACACAAUGAAGUUCUGAGAUAUGCCUUCCCACUUUACCAAACCAGAGCAGCAACGCAAAACUGCAACUUCAAAUAUAGAAACUUUGAAGUUUUAAAUAGUAGUUAUACCUGCUUACGAUACGGUGUAAUCACUCCAAUAUCAGUCACUGACACUGCAAUGCUUUCAUUUUUAGCCAGGUGGCAACAGUACUGCAUUACUUGAACUGCUUCAGUUGGAUUAAACCACGAAGGACUGUGACCUUCACGAGUUUCUUUGCCCUGUAUUAGGAGAAGCAAAGCGAGCAAAUGAAGAACACAAAAACUAACUACAUAUUUAACUGAUUAUAGUCUCAUACAUCUUAAAUGCAAAACAAACAAAAACAAAAAAAUCCAAACAACAACAGAAAUUGUGACUUAACAUUAUAUACAAAUUUCUUUACUCGCUGUAAAUCCUUUUCAAUAAGCAACCACCACCUGUAUUCUAUGAUGACAGUGCUUUAAAUAUGCGACAAAGAAUAUAAAUCUCAGCUCAGAUAACAGGUGUUUGCAAGCCGUUAUCCCGCUUUUGCACAAAGCAGAAGAGUUCAGACACAAGCGCAUCUCCGAACAGUGGAUACACCACUUACUACUUCACUAACUUCUUGGAAGGCCCACAAAAACUUUUCUUCCUGAAGUACCAGUUUUAUCCUUGACUUUUUAAUCUUCAAUAACGUUCUAGUUUUAGAGGCUUGCAUUCAUUCUAGUGCAGCAGACUCUUACCAGAAUUAAUCUAAAUCUAAUGGAGUUGCCUGCAACUCCAGACUGAUAAAUUUGCAGAUUUAAAUUUUUAUUAAAGUGUCUUCACAAUACCCUGCAAUCUGCAGCUGCUUAAGUUUUAAGUGCUGCUUUAAGUUUUUUUUUUUUUUAAGUAGAAAGCUAUUUGUCUUCAGUAGUUGUUUUGAAAACCAGAUGGUCAAGAAGCCACACUGCUUGCAAAAAACUUAUUCUUUUUCCAUAUUCUUUCCAAAAUUCAUUCUAAUGAAUAAAACUUUUGUCUACAACAUUAGCAAACUUCUAUGAAGCCUCUUUAUUUAUACUUAGAUUACGUGAACAUUUUACAUACCCUUACUCCGUGAAAAAUUAAUGGAAACCCUUUCCUGGGCAAUUUCUCCCAGUGUAACAAAGAAGAUACUACUGAUGUGUCUGCACAAACUUCUAGCUCUUUGUGAUAAAACAAUUUAGAUGGUAAGGCAAGCAAUGCAGAAUGUGACCUGUAGUUGUUUACGAGUUUUGUGAUC
Molecule: long non-coding RNA, 14051 nt
Organism: Gallus gallus (chicken)
Lineage: Eukaryota; Metazoa; Chordata; Aves; Galliformes; Phasianidae
Exons: 2
Source: RefSeq, a predicted model, not a curated record